CACGACUAAAAACCUCAUUUUAUCACAAGUCGACGAUUAUAGACCAACCACACAUUUAAAUAGAUCAAAUAUUUUACUCAUCCUCUCUACUUCGAGGAAUGAAUCAUUUUCUUCAGUGUUGUUGACGACGAGUCCACCUUAAGGUAACCUGAUGUUACCGCUCCAUACCUUGGCAAGAAUGCUGUUGAGUGAUGAGAAGUCCUGAUCUACCACAACCUUGGCUUACAAGCAUUGAAAAGGCUCGGUGACAGCCAAGGAGCAGAGACACUGAAAGUUAUUAGAAGAAAGAAGGAAAGAAUGAUCGUAAUGAUUAUUUGAUGACAAGAAAUUGCUAAGGUGACUAUGUCACUGAUAUUUACAAGAAUGACACCUGGAGAAGUAGCUUUCAGACUGGGGUGGAAAUCCAUUUUCUAGCUAAGAAUGGAUUCAGUACAGGAUAUAAGACCUUUUGUGUGUAAUGAAUGUGGUUCCAGCUUUAAUAAGAAGUGGAACCUGAAGGUCCACAUGGAAUCACACAGUGAUCCCUUUGAAUGUGAAGUGUGCCACUUAAAAUUCAAGUUCCGGCACAAGCUGCGAUCACACAUGGGGCGCCACACUGGGAUCAUAAAGUACAACUG
Molecule: long non-coding RNA, 617 nt
Filed under: Penaeus japonicus
Lineage: Eukaryota; Metazoa; Arthropoda; Malacostraca; Decapoda; Penaeidae
Description: uncharacterized LOC122262708
Source: RNAcentral